This 749-nucleotide long non-coding RNA is filed under the name Heterocephalus glaber (naked mole-rat). RNAcentral's name for it is "lncRNA (ENSHGLG00000049380.1)". The record is from RNAcentral. Lineage: Eukaryota; Metazoa; Chordata; Mammalia; Rodentia; Bathyergidae.
AUGUAUAAUGUGCUGCACUAAGCACAGAAAUUUAACACGAGCUGAGAGAGAGCUGAGCUUCUCAUUGUGGGUGCAGGGUUUGCUGUAGCUGACACCACGCUAGCUGAGUCCCGUGCCUGCUGUGGCAUUUGGCACUGUCUUAUGAUUCAGCUUACAAAUUACUACUACUGUGGGAACUCCCUCUCUUUCAGACUCGUCUAAGAAAUGAAUGGUAGCUGGGGAUUUAGCUCAGUGGUUCUGGCGCCUGCCUUCCAAACGCAAGGUCCCAAGUUCAGUCCCCAGUACACACACACACAAGAAAUGAAUGGUAGAGCUUUGAAAUUUUUCUUAGAUCUUCUGAUCCGGUGUACUAUGCUUACUUUUUAAAAUUUUAUUUUUUGCUGAGUAUCAAACCCAAGGCCUGGCACAUGUUAGACAAGGGCUUUCCCACUGAGCUACACCCCAGCCUGCUCAAUGUCACAAACUUCAUGUGAUUGUAAGUGAAAGAAAUCUGCUUUUUAGGUUGAGUGCUGCCAGGUUUGUCUUAGGAUGGCUCUACAAGGAUGAGAACCCCAAGAUCCAGACCAUGGCAGUGAGCAUCUUCUCCAUCCUUGCCCUGCAGCUAACACGUGAGCAGGUUACACAACUUGAUGAAGAUCUCUUUAUGGCAGUUAAGUGCUGGGGAUUGAACCCAGGGGCCCCAUGAAUGCUAAGCAUAUGGCCUACGACUGAGCUACAUGAGCUACGUCCCUGGGCCUUUUUCUUCUCUC